GUUUGAUGUGACCAGUAGGCAAGGCUGAUAGCCGUCGAUUGUGGUGUGACUCAAUUUGAAUUGUUUCAGUAAAGCGGCGCAAGAUCACGUUUUAUGAGGAUACAUUUGGCAAGCUGCAUCUAUGGUUCAGACGCAGCGCUCAGUGAGCGCGUUGAGAAACGUGAAGGGGGAGAGAUUUUUCUUGUGUUUCUUUUGUAGUUUUCGUUUGU
Molecule: long non-coding RNA, 209 nt
Organism: Sinocyclocheilus rhinocerous
Lineage: Eukaryota; Metazoa; Chordata; Actinopteri; Cypriniformes; Cyprinidae
Exons: 3
Source: RefSeq, a predicted model, not a curated record